UACGUAGGGUGCAAGCGUUAUCCGGAAUUAUUGGGCGUAAAGAGCUCGUAGGCGGUUUGUCGCGUCUGCUGUGAAAACUGGAGGCUCAACCUCCAGCCUGCAGUGGGUACGGGCAAACUAGAGUGCGGUAGGGGAGAUUGGAAUUCCUGGUGUAGCGGUGGAAUGCGCAGAUAUCAGGAGGAACACCGGUGGCGAAGGCGGGUCUCUGGGCCGAUACUGACGCUGAGGAGCGAAAGCGUGGGGAGCGAACAGG
RNAcentral lists this ribosomal RNA (253 nucleotides) under uncultured bacterium. RNAcentral describes it as "partial 16S ribosomal RNA". It matches the Rfam family "Bacterial small subunit ribosomal RNA", at positions 524 to 776 of the family's 1533-position model. The record is from RNAcentral.